GGUUAAGCGACUAAGCGUACACGGUGGAUGCCCUGGCAGUCAGAGGCGAUGAAGGACGUGCUAAUCUGCGAUAAGCGUCGGUAAGGUGAUAUGAACCGUUAUAACCGGCGAUUUCCGAAUGGGGAAACCCAGUGUGAUUCGUCACACUAUCAUUAACUGAAUCCAUAGGUUAAUGAGGCGAACCGGGGGAACUGAAACAUCUAAGUACCCCGAGGAAAAGAAAUCAACCGAGAUUCCCCCAGUAGCGGCGAGCGAACGGGGAGCAGCCCAGAGUCUGAAUCAGUGUGUGUGUUAGUGGAAGCGUCUGGAAAGGCGCGCGAUACAGGGUGACAGCCCCGUACACAAAAAUGCACAUACUGUGAGCUCGAUGAGUAGGGCGGGACACGUGGUAUCCUGUCUGA
Molecule: ribosomal RNA, 401 nt
Filed under: Escherichia coli
Lineage: Bacteria; Pseudomonadati; Pseudomonadota; Gammaproteobacteria; Enterobacterales; Enterobacteriaceae
Description: partial 23S ribosomal RNA
Rfam family: Bacterial large subunit ribosomal RNA
Source: RNAcentral